CUCGGAGCGAGCCCGCCCAGCUCCCGCCCCGCCCGCCCACACCCCGGCUCGGAACUCGCUCAGCAGCCGCCUCCGAGCGGCUCCACCCCCCUAGAGCCGUUUCGAACCUCGUUCGGUGCCCGCCUCCAAGCGGUCCCGCUCGGCCCCCCCGGUCCGCCCCUCCGGCUCAGAGCACGGCCAGCCCGCCCCCGCCCCCGAGCUGGUCCGCACUUCAGUCUCGCCACACCUCAGCCCACAGACACCGCUUGCCGCCUUUCCCUCAGAGCACACAGAUUCUUCUCACGCGCUGAGAUCACCUGUUGCUUACCUGUCCGCUCGUGCGGCUUAUAUAGGUGUCCCGGCCGCCCGCCAGCCAAUAGGAGCCCAGAACGCCGGUUUCUUUUCCCACCGCUUUUGCUUCCCGCCGAUUUCGGUUCCCGCCUCACCGCUCGCGCCCUUUUUGCUGAAGGCGACCGGGGCGGGGUCAACUGAGGGUCACGGGCUCCUCGCUGCGCUGCCGCCUUUACCCUCAAGGCAGAGCCGCCUCACAGGUGGUCGCUGUGAGGCCACAGCGUUCUGGUGGAGCUGCGUGUGGGGCACUCAUUUCUUCAGUUUCCAUUCUCAUCUUCUAGGUUUGUUCCUGAAGGUCAGAACUAUAUUAUGCUCUUCAGUGAUGACUCCCAUCAUUCUUGAAGAUCUUCUGAGAAGGAAUACAAAAAAAGUGAUACUCCCUGCUGCAAGGAAGCAGCAAAUCCAUCCCACUUUGGAGAUAAUGACGCUGACUGAGCUAUUGCUGAUCACAGAAAAGUCAUCCAGAUGCCCCUGUUUGGAGACUUGUGUUUCAUUAAAACCAAAGGCGCCAGGGAGGAACGGCAGUGAUACUCCUGGAGAUGUGGGUUUUCUGCAGAGGUCCUACUGUCUUUACAGAACAUAACAGAAAAUAAUAUAAAUAGUUUCAAAAAACUGCUGUUAUGAUCUUCCUCUCAUUUUGACUCUUAAGGACUAACUUUUACAAAUUUGUGCUGCACAAAUUAAAAAAAAAUAUUCUUAGGGUUAUUACAUGUAUAAAUCUAGGAAGUCUCAACACUCCCUGAAAAACUUUGUAAGACUUAUGACUUUCUAGGGACUUUUUUUUUUUUGGAAAGAUUUCCAACAGUAGAAUAAACUGAAUGCUCAGUAGAUAAGUCUUUCUUGA
RNAcentral lists this long non-coding RNA (1174 nucleotides) under Numida meleagris (helmeted guineafowl). RNAcentral describes it as "lncRNA (ENSNMEG00000008703.1)". Lineage: Eukaryota; Metazoa; Chordata; Aves; Galliformes; Numididae. The record is from RNAcentral.